ACAGAGUCUAUCGUUUCUGUCUACAUUCA
RNAcentral lists this non-coding RNA (29 nucleotides) under Rattus norvegicus (Norway rat). Lineage: Eukaryota; Metazoa; Chordata; Mammalia; Rodentia; Muridae. The record is from RNAcentral.